UACGUAGGGUGCGAGCGUUAAUCGGAAUUACUGGGCGUAAAGCGUGCGCAGGCGGCUUUUUAAGCCAGACGUGAAAUCCCCGGGCUUAACCUGGGAACUGCGUUUGGAACUGGAAGGCUAGAGUGCGUCAGAGGGGGGUGGAAUUCCACGUGUAGCAGUGAAAUGCGUAGAGAUGUGGAGGAACACCGAUGGCGAAGGCAGCCCCCUGGGAUGACACUGACGCUCAUGCACGAAAGCGUGGGGAGCAAACAGG
RNAcentral lists this ribosomal RNA (253 nucleotides) under uncultured bacterium. RNAcentral's name for it is "partial 16S ribosomal RNA". It matches the Rfam family "Bacterial small subunit ribosomal RNA", at positions 524 to 776 of the family's 1533-position model. The record is from RNAcentral.